GAUGAACGCUGGCGGCGCGCCUAACACAUGCAAGUCGAACGGUUAAAGCACCUUUUAGGUGUGUAUAAAGUGGCGAACGGCUGAGUAACACGUGGGCAACCUGCCCUCCUCUUGGGGAUAGCCUCGGGAAACCGAGGAUAAUACCCGAUACUUCAAUGUGGCCGCAUGACGACAUUGAGAAAGCUUUUGCGGAGAAGGAUGUGCCCGCGGCCUGUUAGCUUGUUGGUGGGGUAGAGGCCUACCAAGGCAAUGAUGGGUAGCUGGGUUGAGAGACCGACCAGCCAGAUUGGGACUGAGGCACGGCCCAGACUCCUACGGGAGGCAGCAGUGGGGAAUCUUGCACAAUGGGCGAAAGCCUGAUGCAGCGACGCCGCGUGCGGGACGAAGGCCUUCGGGUUGUAAACCGCUUUCAGCAGGGACGAGGCGAUAAGUGACGGUACCUGCAGAAGAAGCCCCGGCUAACUACGUG
RNAcentral lists this ribosomal RNA (469 nucleotides) under uncultured bacterium. Its description in RNAcentral is "partial 16S ribosomal RNA". It matches the Rfam family "Bacterial small subunit ribosomal RNA", at positions 28 to 507 of the family's 1533-position model. The record is from RNAcentral.